Molecule: long non-coding RNA, 375 nt
Organism: Austrofundulus limnaeus
Lineage: Eukaryota; Metazoa; Chordata; Actinopteri; Cyprinodontiformes; Rivulidae
Exons: 2
Source: RefSeq, a predicted model, not a curated record
GUUUUGACCCUCGCUCUCGUUUUUGGAUUCCUSCCUUUCGCCUCAGCCCCUAUUGGAUUUGCCCAGCCAUCGGACCCCCGGAUCUCGACCCCCGCCUGUGUACCACAACCAAGAGUUAAGUCUGAUCCCCUUAACCUGUCGCCGCUCUCUGACCACAUGUUUUUGACCCUCGCCUGUCUCACGGAUUCUCCUCAAGCCUGCGUACCACGCCGCAGCGCCAAACACGGAAGUGCCAGGAACCACCGUCACCUGAGACUCUCAAAGUCUUUCAAAGUUUCGGCUUCCAAAACACUGGUACUAAAAAGACCUCCGUGUCCCGGUGACGUGUCGGUCCCGAUCCUGCUGCUCCAGAUUUAAUAAAAUCCUUAAAUCGUC